Molecule: transfer RNA, 77 nt
Filed under: Microbulbifer marinus
Lineage: Bacteria; Pseudomonadati; Pseudomonadota; Gammaproteobacteria; Cellvibrionales; Microbulbiferaceae
Also listed under: 4 other names
Description: tRNA-Asp
Rfam family: tRNA
About the family: Transfer RNA (tRNA) molecules are approximately 80 nucleotides in length.
Source: RNAcentral
GCGGUUGUAGCUCAGCCGGUUAGAGUGCCGGCCUGUCACGCCGGAGGUCGCGGGUUCGAGCCCCGUCAACCGCGCCA